UACGUAGGGUGCGAGCGUUGUCCGGAUUUAUUGGGCGUAAAGGGCUCGUAGGCGGUCUAUUGCGUCGGGAGUGAAAACCUGCGGCUUAACUGUGGGCUUGCUUUCGAUACGGGUGGACUUGAGGAGGGUAGGGGAGAACGGAAUUCCUGGUGGAGCGGUGGAAUGCGCAGAUAUCAGGAGGAACACCGGUGGCGAAGGCGGUUCUCUGGACCUUUCCUGACGCUGAGGAGCGAAAGCGUGGGGAGCAAACAGGCUUAGAUACCCUGGUAGUCCACGCUGUAAACGGUGGGUACUAGGUGUGGGAUCCUUUCCGUGGGUUCUGUGCCGUAGCUAACGCAUUAAGUACCCCGCCUGGGGAGUACGGCCGCAAGGCUAAAACUCAAAGGAAUUGACGGGGGCCCGCACAAGCGGCGGAGCAUGCGGAUUAAUUCGAUGCAACGCGAAGAACCUUACCUGGGUUUGACAUAUGCCGGAAGCAUUCAGAGAUGGGUGUGCCUUUUUGGUCGGUUUACAGGUGGUGCAUGGCU
This 527-nucleotide ribosomal RNA is filed under the name uncultured bacterium. Its description in RNAcentral is "bacterial SSU rRNA". It matches the Rfam family "Bacterial small subunit ribosomal RNA", at positions 524 to 1050 of the family's 1533-position model. The record is from RNAcentral.